This 381-nucleotide ribosomal RNA is filed under the name uncultured eukaryote. RNAcentral describes it as "partial 18S ribosomal RNA". It matches the Rfam family "Eukaryotic small subunit ribosomal RNA", at positions 592 to 976 of the family's 1831-position model. The record is from RNAcentral.
CAAUAGCGUAUAUUAAAGUUGUUGCGGUAAAAAAGCUCGUAGUUGGAUUUCUACCGAAGAUAGCCGGUCGGGUCUUCGACCUUGUAUCUGGUUUUGUCUUUGGUAUCCUCAUAGGGAACGUUUCUGCGCUUUAUUGCGUGGUGCGGUAUCUAUGACUUUUACUUUGAGGAAAUUAGAGUGCUCACGGCAGGCAAACGCCUUGAAUAUAUUAGCAUGGAAUAAUAACAUAGGAUCUUCGUCCUAUUUUGUUGGUUUCUAGGGCUAAGAUAAUGAUUAAUAGGGAUAAUUGGGGGCAUCUGUAUCAACGCGUCAGAGGUGGAAUUCUUGGAUUGCGUUGCGACAAACUACUGCGAAAGCAUUUGCCAAGGAUGUUUACAUUGA